This 611-nucleotide ribosomal RNA is filed under the name Limnebius mesatlanticus. RNAcentral describes it as "partial 16S ribosomal RNA". It matches the Rfam family "Bacterial large subunit ribosomal RNA", at positions 1819 to 2768 of the family's 2925-position model. The record is from RNAcentral. Lineage: Eukaryota; Metazoa; Arthropoda; Insecta; Coleoptera; Hydraenidae.
GUCUUUUAGAUUAUAAUUUAAAGUCUGGCCUGCCCUAUGAAGAUUUAAAUGGCCGCAGUAUUUUGACUGUGCAAAGGUAGCAUAAUAAUUAGUUUUUUAAUUGAAAGCUGGAAUGAAAGGUUGAACGAAAAAAUAUCUGUCUCAAUUUAAUUUAAUUAGAAUUUUAUUUUUUAGUAAAAAAGCUAAAAUAAUUUUUAAAGACGAGAAGACCCUAUAGAGUUUUAUAUUUAAAUUUUAUAUAUUUUAAAGAAUUUUUUUAUAAUUUUAAAUAUUUUGUUGGGGUGACAAGUAAAUUUAAUUAACUUUAUUAAUUUUUUACAUUAAUAUAUGAUUUAUUGAUCCAUAUAAAUGAUUAAAGAUUAAAUUACCUUAGGGAUAACAGCGUUAUUUUUUUUUAGAGUUCUUAUCGAAAAAAAAGAUUGCGACCUCGAUGUUGGAUUAAAAUUUAUUUAUGGUGUAGAAGCUAUAAUAUUAGGUCUGUUCGACCUUUAAAAUUUUACAUGAUCUGAGUUUAAACCGGUGUGAGCCAGGUUGGUUUCUAUCUUAAAAUAAAUAAAAUAUUUUAGUACGAAAGGACCAAAUAUUUAUAAAAUUUAUUAUAUUUUGAAUAC